This 28-nucleotide non-coding RNA is filed under the name Escherichia coli. The record is from RNAcentral. Lineage: Bacteria; Pseudomonadati; Pseudomonadota; Gammaproteobacteria; Enterobacterales; Enterobacteriaceae. RNAcentral also lists the same sequence under 3 other names.
GUUCACUGCCGUACAGGCAGUCUUCAAA